UGCAAGUCGAACGAACUUCCGUUAAUUGAUUAUGACGUACUUGUACUGAUUGAGAUUUUAACACGAAGUGAGUGGCGAACGGGUGAGUAACACGUGGGUAACCUGCCCAGAAGUAGGGGAUAACACCUGGAAACAGAUGCUAAUACCGUAUAACAGAGAAAACCGCAUGGUUUUCUUUUAAAAGAUGGCUCUGCUAUCACUUCUGGAUGGACCCGCGGCGUAUUAGCUAGUUGGUGAGGUAAAGGCUCACCAAGGCAGUGAUACGUAGCCGACCUGAGAGGGUAAUCGGCCACAUUGGGACUGAGACACGGCCCAGACUCCUACGGGAGGCAGCAGUAGGGAAUCUUCCACAAUGGACGCAAGUCUGAUGGAGCAACGCCGCGUGAGUGAAGAAGGGUUUCGGCUCGUAAAGCUCUGUUGUUAAAGAAGAACGUGGGUAAGAGUAACUGUUUACCCAGUGACGGUAUUUAACCAGAAAGCCACGGCUAACUACGUGCCAGCAGCCGCGGUAAUACGUAGGUGGCAAGCGUUAUCCGGAUUUAUUGGGCGUAAAGCGAGCGCAGGCGGUCUUUUAAGUCUAAUGUGAAAGCCUUCGGCUCAACCGAAGAAGUGCAUUGGAAACUGGGAGACUUGAGUGCAGAAGAGGACAGUGGAACUCCAUGUGUAGCGGUGAAAUGCGUAGAUAUAUGGAAGAACACCAGUGGCGAAGGCGGCUGUCUGGUCUGCAACUGACGCUGAGGCUCGAAAGCAUGGGUAGCG
This 759-nucleotide ribosomal RNA is filed under the name Pediococcus sp. epsi31-MSE-E3-2. RNAcentral describes it as "bacterial SSU rRNA". It matches the Rfam family "Bacterial small subunit ribosomal RNA", at positions 56 to 770 of the family's 1533-position model. The record is from RNAcentral. Lineage: Bacteria; Bacillati; Bacillota; Bacilli; Lactobacillales; Lactobacillaceae.